RNAcentral lists this ribosomal RNA (246 nucleotides) under Minisyncoccota bacterium. RNAcentral describes it as "partial 16S ribosomal RNA". It matches the Rfam family "Bacterial small subunit ribosomal RNA", at positions 1 to 265 of the family's 1533-position model. The record is from RNAcentral. Lineage: Bacteria; Bacillati; Minisyncoccota.
UUUUUUGAGAAUUUGAUCCUGGUUCAGGAUGAACGCUGGCGGUGUGCCUUAAGCAUGCAAGUCGUGCGGGUUUUGUCGCAAGACAGAAUCAGCGGCAAACGGGUGAGUAACGCGUAGGGAUCUACCUUUUCGUGGGGGAUAGCUCGCCGAAAGGCGGGGUAAUACCGCAUGUGAUCGCGAGAUGAAAGUCGUAAGACGCGAAAAGAGGAACCUGCGCCCCAUCAGGUUGUUGGCGGGGUAAUAGCC